Uranotaenia lowii is the source of this 3224-nucleotide long non-coding RNA. RefSeq lists it as uncharacterized. NCBI's taxonomy places the organism in Eukaryota, Metazoa, Arthropoda, Insecta, Diptera, Culicidae. The record is from RefSeq and is a predicted model, not a curated record. The transcript is spliced from 3 exons.
UAUAUUUAGGAGGUGUAUCGAUAAAUCGAAUUCCCGAUUCAGCCAUUUUGGUUUGCGAACUGCGAACUUUCAUGGAGUUUGUUUACCAACAAACCACUGAACAGCUGUGAUCUAAGCAGCAGCAGCCGAGUCCGUUCGAUUUUUCUUUCCGGGUCCCUCGAAAUCACCGAAGUUGUAGUCACUCAUGCCGCUGCCGGAGUCCUCCCGCGGGGUACAAGGUUCUCUGUGGUACAAGUUCGUUCGCCGGGUUAUUUUUCACGCUAAAGAGUCCGUUGUUGUUAGGUACCGGGCGUAGGAGACAUCCAUCGGCCGAAUUUGCCUGAAUAUUGAGGUAAUGGCAGAAUGUGCAUUCCGGAUCCCAUCAGUCCCGCAGGACUGUAAUUGCCAGGUGAUGAGAUUGAACAGUUUAUGGACGAGGUUGCAUUUCCUAGCUCGAGCAGUUUCAUUUCAAUGGAAGCCUUUGGAACUGCUGCCGAUCGUUCCCAUGUUGACUUUAAAUGGUUGCUGCACGUUAGUUUUUCUUCUUCCGGAGACGGAUUCGAUCCUAAGUAAACACUUAAGCUGGGAUUUGUUAUGGUGGAGCUGGCUGCGAUUGGAAACUGGAGUGGCAGUCAAAGCAGAGGUGCUAGUACAAAUGCAAGGCACCCGUUACCCGCAGAGUAUUCGUGUUAAUUUUUUUCACACACCGCGCCGAGACACAAAUCGACAUGGAUUUUGUUUACCAACAAAGCCCUAAGUUCCUGUGCCCCAUUUUUCAUCAGCUGUUCUGGUACAGGAAGACAAUUUUCAUCAAAGAAAUUGCUGGUUACAACGUGAACAAUGUGUUUUUGAAGUGGUCGACAGCAAAGUGUAGGAUUUCAAUUAGCUGCCUAUCAUCGCAUGAAAAUCUUCGUCGAUUAUCCUUAUCGGGAUAAAAGAUCCACGGGCGAUAGGUUGACAACGAAUGCAAAACCAAACAUUUUGAGUAUGUUGAAGUUACGCUGUAAAGCUUUUUGACCAUCAGCAUGGAGUCCGAGGGCUCUCAAGCCAAAUGGGAAAUUAGUUACCAGAUUAAAAUAUCGUUCAACGACCAUUCCACCGACUAUGUUCUGCUAUGGACUUUAUCUCGAAUUUCGAUUUUCAUCCGGGUGCGAUGGUUACGGUGUCGGAAAUGAAGGAAGAGGCUUGGAAGAAGCUUAGCUAAAGUGGGCUUUCCUUAUCCGAGGAAAAAAAAAUAAAAAGGGCGAGCAACAGGUUUGGCCAAAUAACACGAAAUGCAGAUGAGAUGAAAAAAGAAAAGGAGAUUCAAUGCUUGAUUGCUUGGGAAUAGAAAAUAAUUUGAAAAAUAAAAAUGUAGAAGAUUUAUUCUCGGAUACCAACUUUUGUUAUCUAGUCAUUUUUUUUCGAGAGGUUUUAAUUGUUUGCACGCUCUUAUAAACAGAUCCAUUUUCACAUUUUCAAAAGUAUUUCGCCAUUUUCCCUGUUCGAACAUCUUCGUCAUACCAAAUAUGCGACAAUUCAAAGGUAUGAAAGUCUGAUACAAACACUUUCUGGUCCCGUUUGCCAUAAGUAAUAUCCGUUAACAGGAGUAUCUAUUCCAAGCAUCUCUUCAAUGUCACAUCGACGGACUUUCGAUGAAUCCUGCAUUUUACUGACCAGGAGGUAACUGCAGCAACCAGCCAGCCCUGCAUUUCGAUUGCACUGCAUUUUUCAUUCGUUCGUCGGUCAAAAAUAUUUAUUCCAAGGUGUUAUUUUCGUUGACUGAAAGCUUCCGGAACAUCUUGUCUGAAUCUAGCCAGUCACGACGCUCCAGGAUUUUUGUCUACAAAUCAAUCAAAGAUAUAUUGAACGUUGUUUGCAAACUUUAGAAAUUCGGAACCUACCUUGAAUAAACACAAACACAUACAGGAUCUCAAUGAAACAUGAUGUUUCCUCGAAGAGAUUCCUUUUUUCUUAAUUCUAAGCGUACAUCUUUCGGGGAUAUGAUGGCUAGCAUCUUACAAAUGCUAAAACCACCAACCCACCGAAAGUGUACUAUGUAUGCCGUGACCGGGAUUCGAUCUCACUCACAGGAUUUCUCCACUAAACAAAACCGCAUUCUCAACUGGAAAGGAACUCGAAGCGAGGGCUCACGUAAAUAAAAAUUACAACAGGAUUUUUACUGGAGAACAGAAUUCAAUCCACAAAACCAAAAUGAAAUUUUCUUUUGUUUAUAAACAAACUCACUGAGCUCAUCGCUCUCUAGAGGAGCUCCUCGCCUACUUACUAAACAAGUCAGAGAACCUAGUGUAUCUAUGAACCUUGGUUGGGACAGCCCUUAUAGGUUGAUGUCAUGCUGAAGCAACAAGCAACGCAACGCGUUCACACGACAAACCAGCUCUCAUUUGAUCUCCUUGGAAAAGCGCAGACCUGUCAUGCUGAGCGCAUUGGAAAGCGCGACAAAGCUGAUGCCAGGGUGUUUUGUAGCGCGACAAGUAGGAAAUCCAAUGGGUAUAUUGUUUUUUCUCGUUUUAAAACAGUGAUUUCCGUCCAAAUUUGUGAUAAUAAACUAAAUAACAUCUGAAUCGACAAGAAAAUUUUCAUAAAUUCUUGGUUCCGGCAAAAAAAAAGGAAUUUUGUCGGUUCAAAUUUCGGCAUUCUUGCAAUCCGGGUCGUGAUUUGAUGAGUUUUUUAUGGCUCCCGAAAGAAAGGAGACGAUUCAAAGCAUUAUCAGAUGUAGAGAAGUGAUGAUUUGUAGGGAAUUUCAAAGCAACAUGUCGCGCCAGCAUGACAUACCAAUGCGUUGCAACGCUUUCUUAUUGGAACGUUGCGUUGUGUUGCGUUGCUAGUUGCUUCAGCAUGACAUCAGCCUAAAGUGCGAGUAGACUCGCCAUUUUAACAUCUCUGCCUAUGAGAAAAAAAAUUCUGAUUGAAUCAGGAAAAAAUGACCAUAUACAUUUGUAGAUUGAACCAAAAAACUGUCCUGUGAGAAAUUUCAGCUCAAUCGGACAUCUUUAAUCCCCCCUUAGAUGAUUUUUAGGGUCGUAAAAAUCCUUGCUCUGAGCGCUUUGAGGCACCCCUAAAUCAAGUUCAAUUGAGCUCAAAUUUUGCACAGGUCAGUUUUUUAGACCAAUCCACAAAAAUGCGAUAUAUAUGGUUGGUUUUCGAAAUUCGACAUGACUGUUUUCGCUGCCACCUCAACCUACAUACAUACAUGCAUACAUCUAGAUCUAACCAAUAUAAAAAGUAUUAACUAAUGGAUUAAA